GAUGAAGAACGCAGCGAAAUGCGAUAAGUAAUGUGAAUUGCAGAAUUCAGUGAAUCAUCGAAUCUUUGAACGCACAUUGCGCCCCUUGGUAUUCCGAGGGGCAUGCCUGUUCGAGCGUCAUUAUAACCCUCAAGCUCAGCUUGGUGUUGGGGCCUGCUGCAGUGGCAGCCCUUAAAAUCAGUGGCGGCGCCAUCUGGCUCUAAGCGUAGUAAUUCUUCUCGCUAUGGAGUCCUGGUGGAUGCUUGCCAUCAACCCCCAAUUUUUCUAUGGUUGACCUCGGAUCACGUAGGGAUACCCGCUGAACUUAAGCAUAUCAAUAAGCGGAGGA
RNAcentral lists this unclassified non-coding RNA (328 nucleotides) under soil metagenome. RNAcentral describes it as "partial contains 5.8S ribosomal RNA, internal transcribed spacer 2, and large subunit ribosomal RNA". The stretch from base 1 to 120 matches the Rfam family "5.8S ribosomal RNA", at positions 35 to 154 of the family's 154-position model. The record is from RNAcentral.